This 301-nucleotide ribosomal RNA is filed under the name uncultured bacterium. RNAcentral's name for it is "partial 16S ribosomal RNA". It matches the Rfam family "Bacterial small subunit ribosomal RNA", at positions 509 to 808 of the family's 1533-position model. The record is from RNAcentral.
CAGCAGCCGCGGGAAUACAGAGGAUGCAAGCGUUAUCCGGAAUGAUUGGGCGUAAAGCGUCUGUAGGUGGCUAUAUAAGUCUGAUGUGAAAAUGCAGGGCUCAACUCUGUAUUGCGUUGGAAACUGUAUAACUAGAGUACUGGAGAGGUAAGCGGAACUACAAGUGUAGAGGUGAAAUUCGUAGAUAUUUGUAGGAAUGCCGAUGGGGAAGCCAGCUUACUGGACAGAUACUGACGCUGAAGCGCGAAAGCGUGGGUAGCAAACAGGAUUAGAUACCCCGGUAGUCCCUGUCUCUUAUACA